AGCGAACGCUGGCGGUAGGCCUAACACAUGCAAGUCGAACGGCAGCACAGUAAGAGCUUGCUCUUACGGGUGGCGAGUGGCGGACGGGUGAGGAAUACAUCGGAAUCUACUUUUUCGUGGGGGAUAACGUAGGGAAACUUACGCUAAUACCGCAUACGACCUACGGGUGAAAGCAGGGGAUCUUCGGACCUUGCGCGAUUGAAUGAGCCGAUGUCGGAUUAGCUAGUUGGCGGGGUAAAGGCCCACCAAGGCGACGAUCCGUAGCUGGUCUGAGAGGAUGAUCAGCCACACGGGAACUGAGACACGGUCCAGACUCCUGCGGUAGGCAGCAGUGGGGAAUAUUGGACGAUGGGCGCAAGCCUGAUCCAGCCAUACCGCGUGGGUGAAGAAGGCCUUCGGGUUGUAAAGCCCUUUUGUUGGGAGAGAAAAGCAGCAGGUUAAUACCCCGCUGUUCUGACGGUACCCAAAGAAUAAGCACCGGCUAACUUCGUG
This 492-nucleotide ribosomal RNA is filed under the name uncultured bacterium. RNAcentral describes it as "partial 16S ribosomal RNA". It matches the Rfam family "Bacterial small subunit ribosomal RNA", at positions 29 to 507 of the family's 1533-position model. The record is from RNAcentral.